UGGGGAAUAUUGCACAAUGGGCGCAAGCCUGAUGCAGCCAUGCCGCGUGUAUGAAGAAGGCCUUCGGGUUGUAAAGUACUUUCAGCGGGGAGGAAGGGAGUAAAGUUAAUACCUUUGCUCAUUGACGUUACCCGCAGAAGAAGCACCGGCUAACUCCGUGCCAGCAGCCGCGGUAAUACGGAGGGUGCAAGCGUUAAUCGGAAUUACUGGGCGUAAAGCGCACGCAGGCGGUUUGUUAAGUCAGAUGUGAAAUCCCCGGGCUCAACCUGGGAACUGCAUCUGAUACUGGCAAGCUUGAGUCUCGUAGAGGGGGGUAGAAUUCCAGGUGUAGCGGUGAAAUGCGUAGAGAUCUGGAGGAAUACCGGUGGCGAAGGCGGCCCCCUGGACGAAGACUGACGCUCAGGUGCGAAAGCGUGGGGAACAAACA
RNAcentral lists this ribosomal RNA (427 nucleotides) under uncultured bacterium. RNAcentral's name for it is "partial 16S ribosomal RNA". It matches the Rfam family "Bacterial small subunit ribosomal RNA", at positions 355 to 774 of the family's 1533-position model. The record is from RNAcentral.